This 51-nucleotide small RNA is filed under the name Plasmodium falciparum 3D7. RNAcentral's name for it is "Pfa-starR6417b". The record is from RNAcentral. Lineage: Eukaryota; Apicomplexa; Aconoidasida; Haemosporida; Plasmodiidae.
AUAUUAGUAGUCAUGUAAGUAGUCAUGUUAGUAUUCAUGUGAGUGAUGAUG